Molecule: transfer RNA, 73 nt
Filed under: Ixodes scapularis (black-legged tick)
Lineage: Eukaryota; Metazoa; Arthropoda; Arachnida; Ixodida; Ixodidae
Rfam family: tRNA
About the family: Transfer RNA (tRNA) molecules are approximately 80 nucleotides in length. Their secondary structure includes four short double-helical elements and three loops (D, anti-codon, and T loops). Further hydrogen bonds mediate the characteristic L-shaped molecular structure. tRNAs have two regions of fundamental functional importance: the anti-codon, which is responsible for specific mRNA codon recognition, and the 3' end, to which the tRNAs corresponding amino acid is attached (by aminoacyl-tRNA synthetases). tRNAs cope with the degeneracy of the genetic code in two manners: having more than one tRNA (with a specific anti-codon) for a particular amino acid; and 'wobble' base-pairing, i.e. permitting non-standard base-pairing at the 3rd anti-codon position.
Source: Rfam by way of RNAcentral
UCCUGGUUAGCUCAGUUGGUAGAGCGCUCCACUGGAAAUGGGGAGGUCCCUGGUUCGAUACCAGGACCAGGCA